CCCUAAUUCAUUUAAAUCGAAUGGCAAGACUCGAUCGAGCCCUAACCCUGCCUUCCUCUUCGAUGGCUCGACAGCAACGCUGCUACCGCUCCUCCCCUCCUGCUACAGAGAAACCCUGGCAUAUGCUCAAUCUCUCCCAUUUUUCGAUCUCCUGUGUCGCAUGCGGUUUCAAGAUUAAAAGCAUCGACGCAGAUUAGUUGUGUCGAGCGGGCAAUGCUAAUACGACGGAAUAGUGUCGGAUUAACAUCCGCAGCCAAUGCCCUAAAAUAUUCAUUUGCAUUUUCAGCUCACUUCCACCGCUCUAACUUCGUUCAAGAUGGCAAAUUCUGAGUCCCCAGAGAGACCCCACGUUCAGCGGACUUUGGGAAACACAUAUCGAAGGCCGAAGAAGCCACUCCAAUGACCCUUUAUGUUGCCCCUCCUCCCACACCAGGUCCCUCGCAAGCACCUCACCUCUCACUCCACCAUAUUUCCCAGAUUCCUCAUCCGAUGAGCUAGGGCCCUCAACUCUAGCACCUGAGAUGACUAACACCGUCGACAGAGUCUAUAUUGAGUCGUAGGGUGACUCGUUUUAUCCAUCCAGGCCGCCUGUGAUGCGAAUUACGGAGAUCAUCCCGAGCAGGUGGUCCAAAUAAUCAUUCCAAAGGGACAUUUUCUUAUCAUGACAAGCAUAAGCACAAACCGAUCAUGACUACACAAGGAAUAUGGAUGCUUGCAAAUCCAUUAUGCGAUGUUUACAACGAGUACCUAGGGAGCAAUCAUGCCAACGACUGAUUAAUCUCAGAAGUCCAUAACUUGGUAACAAAAUGUGUUGUUGCAAGGAAUCAUAGUAUUAUGGACCUAAUUUAUGUGGCUUUGUGGAUGUACACCUUUAAUCUUAAUUAUGAAACCACUCAUUAGUAAAUGUAUGCAAUGGAUUUGACGAACUUGGUGGACAGAUUAUUUUGGUUUAUUGCUUGAUGGAUAUAUCGUAUUUCUUUUAUGCAUAUUGA
Long non-coding RNA from Phalaenopsis equestris, 992 nucleotides. RefSeq lists it as uncharacterized. The transcript is spliced from 6 exons. Lineage: Eukaryota; Viridiplantae; Streptophyta; Magnoliopsida; Asparagales; Orchidaceae. The record is from RefSeq and is a predicted model, not a curated record.